UACGUAGGGUGCAAGCGUUGUCCGGAAUUAUUGGGCGUAAAGAGCUCGUAGGUGGCUUGUCGCGUCUGCCGUGAAAGCCCAUGGCUUAACUAUGGGUCUGCGGUGGAUACGGGCAGGCUAGAGGCUGGUAGGGGCAAGCGGAAUUCCUGGUGUAGCGGUGAAAUGCGCAGAUAUCAGGAGGAACACCGGUGGCGAAGGCGGCUUGCUGGGCCAGUUCUGACGCUGAGGAGCGAAAGCGUGGGGAGCGAACAGG
Molecule: ribosomal RNA, 253 nt
Filed under: uncultured bacterium
Lineage: Bacteria
Description: partial 16S ribosomal RNA
Rfam family: Bacterial small subunit ribosomal RNA
Source: RNAcentral